AUGGCGCGUUGUGGGGUCGCCGUUCUCGUUCUGAUCCUGCUGGCCUGUGUCGCUGCGGCGGCUGCUGGCGGUGGGGAUCACCACCACCGGCGGGGCAGCAGGGCGUCGGCGCGGCUGCGGCUCGUGCCCGCCGCUCCGGGCGCGUCACUGGCAGAGCGCGCGCGGGACGACCGGCACCGGCACGCCUACAUCUCUCGGAGGCUGGCGUCGGCGUCGCCAAGCCGGCGGCGCGCGGCCGAGACGUCGACGGCCCCGGGCCCGGAGGCGUCGGCGUUCGCGAUGCCCCUGACGUCGGGCGCGUACACGGGCACGGGGCAGUACUUCGUGCGGUUCCGCGUGGGCACCCCCGCGCAGCCCUUCGUGCUCGUCGCCGACACCGGCAGCGACCUCACCUGGGUCAAGUGCCGCGGCGCGUCCCCGCCGUCGGCCGCGUCUCCGUCAGGCUCGCCGCGCGUGUUCCGGCCGGCGGACUCCAAGUCGUGGGCGCCCAUCCCGUGCUCCUCCGACACGUGCAAGUCCUACGUCCCCUUCUCCCUCGCCAACUGCUCCGCCGGCACCGCCCCCUGCGCCUACGACUACAGGUACAAGGACAACUCGUCGGCCCGCGGCGUGGUGGGCACGGACGCGGCCACCAUCGCCCUCUCCGGCUCCAACGGAGGCGGCGGCACGGACAGGAAGGCCAAGCUGCAGGAGGUGGUGCUGGGCUGCACCACCUCCUACGACGGCCAGAGCUUCCAGGCCUCCGACGGCGUGCUCAGCCUCGGCAACAGCAACAUCUCUUUCGCCUCCCGCGCCGCCGCGCGCUUCGGCGGCCGCUUCUCCUACUGCCUCGUCGACCACCUCGCCCCGCGCAACACCUCCAGCUACCUCACCUUCGGCCCCGACGCCUCCAACGGCGCCGCGCAGUCGCCGUCGAGGACGCCGCUGCUGCUCGACGCCCAGGUGGCCCCGUUCUACGCCGUCACGGUCGACGCCGUCUCCGUCGCCGGGGAGGCGCUCGACAUCCCCGCCGACGUGUGGGACGUCAAGAAGAGCGGCGGCGCCAUCCUCGACUCCGGCACCAGCCUCACCAUCCUCGCCACCCCGGCGUACAAGGCGGUGGUGGCCGCGCUGAGCAAGCAGCUCGCGGGAGUGCCGCGGGUGACCAUGGAUCCCUUCGAGUACUGCUACAACUGGACGGCCACGAGCACGCCGCCGGCCGUCCCGAGGCUGGAGGUGCGGUUCGCCGGGUCGGCGCGGCUUCAGCCCCCGACCAAGAGCUACGUCAUCGACGCGGCGCCCGGCGUCAAGUGCAUCGGGCUCCAGGAGGGCAUCUGGCCCGGGGUGUCCGUCAUCGGCAACAUCCUGCAGCAGGAGCACCUCUGGGAGUUCGACCUCGCCAACCGCUGGCUUAGGUUUAAGGAGAGUCGCUGUGCACAGUAA
RNAcentral lists this ribosomal RNA (1422 nucleotides) under Triticum aestivum (bread wheat). Its description in RNAcentral is "partial small subunit ribosomal RNA". Lineage: Eukaryota; Viridiplantae; Streptophyta; Magnoliopsida; Poales; Poaceae. The record is from RNAcentral.